RNAcentral lists this ribosomal RNA (252 nucleotides) under uncultured bacterium. RNAcentral describes it as "partial 16S ribosomal RNA". It matches the Rfam family "Bacterial small subunit ribosomal RNA", at positions 525 to 776 of the family's 1533-position model. The record is from RNAcentral.
ACGAAGGGGGCUAGCGUUGCUCGGAAUGACUGGGCGUAAAGGGCGCGUAGGCGGUGAACACAGUCAGGCGUGAAAUUCCCGGGCUCAACCUGGGGGCUGCGCUUGAUACAUGUCCGCUUGAGUUCGGAAGAGGGUCGUGGAAUUCCCAGUGUAGAGGUGAAAUUCGUAGAUAUUGGGAAGAACACCGGUGGCGAAGGCGGCGACCUGGUCCGAUACUGACGCUGAGGCGCGAAAGCGUGGGGAGCAAACAGG